This 253-nucleotide ribosomal RNA is filed under the name uncultured bacterium. RNAcentral describes it as "partial 16S ribosomal RNA". It matches the Rfam family "Bacterial small subunit ribosomal RNA", at positions 524 to 776 of the family's 1533-position model. The record is from RNAcentral.
UACAGAGGUCUCAAGCGUUGUUCGGAAUCAUUGGGCGUAAAGGGUGCGUAGGCGGCGCGGUAAGUCGGGUGUGAAAUCUCGGAGCUUAACUCCGAAACUGCAUUCGAUACUGCCGUGCUUGAGGACUGGAGAGGAGACUGGAAUUUACGGUGUAGCGGUGAAAUGCGUAGAUAUCGUAAGGAAGACCAGUGGCGAAGGCGGGUCUCUGGACAGUUCCUGACGCUGAGGCACGAAGGUCAGGGGAGCAAACGGG